AUGCACGCUGGCGGCGUGCUUCACACAUGCCAGUCGAACGAAGCACUUUAUUUGAUUUCCUUCGGGACUGAUUAUUUUGUGACUGAGUGGCGGACGGGUGAGUAACGCGUGGGUAACCUGCCUUGUACAGGGGGAUAACAGUUGGAAACGGCUGCUAAUACCGCAUAAGCGCACAGCAUCGCAUGAUGCAGUGUGAAAAACUCCGGUGGUAUAAGAUGGACCCGCGUUGGAUUAGCUAGUUGGUGAGGUAACGGCCCACCAAGGCGACGAUCCAUAGCCGACCUGAGAGGGUGACCGGCCACAUUGGGACUGAGACACGGCCCAAACUCCUACGGGAGGCAGCAGUGGGGAAUAUUGCACAAUGGGCGAAAGCCUGAUGCAGCGACGCCGCGUGAGCGAAGAAGUAUUUCGGUAUGUAAAGCUCUAUCAGCAGGGAAGAUAAUGACGGUACCUGACUAAGAAGCACCGGCUAAAUACGUG
RNAcentral lists this ribosomal RNA (480 nucleotides) under uncultured bacterium. RNAcentral's name for it is "partial 16S ribosomal RNA". It matches the Rfam family "Bacterial small subunit ribosomal RNA", at positions 29 to 507 of the family's 1533-position model. The record is from RNAcentral.